Molecule: ribosomal RNA, 274 nt
Filed under: uncultured Staphylococcus sp.
Lineage: Bacteria; Bacillati; Bacillota; Bacilli; Caryophanales; Staphylococcaceae
Description: partial 16S ribosomal RNA
Rfam family: Bacterial small subunit ribosomal RNA
Source: RNAcentral
ACGUUAGCGGCGGACGGGUGAGUAACACGUGGGUAACCUACCUAUAAGACUGGGAUAACUUCGGGAAACCGGAGCUAAUACCGGAUAAUAUUUCGAACCGCAUGGUUCGAUAGUGAAAGAUGGUUUUGCUAUCACUUAUAGAUGGACCUGCGCCGUAUUAGCUAGUUGGUAAGGUAACGGCUUACCAAGGCGACGAUACGUAGCCGACCUGAGAGGGUGAUCGGCCACACUGGAACUGAGACACGGUCCAGACUCCUACGGGAGGCAGCAGUAC